CAUACAUAUAUAUAAUCUUCCAAUGAGGAAUUUAAUAAGCUAAAAAGUAAGAAAAAAAUACAUUUUCUAAUUAAUGCAGUGUUUUUUAUCAUAUAAUUUAUUAAAAUUUUUGUUUUUUUAUCUCUAGGUUGUCCUUUACCAUAUUAAAAAUAAGAGAUCUCUCAUCAAAUAACAACAAAUAUAUAUGUAUGGGUACCGAUCUGGUUUUGGAUCUUGGAUAAGAUUGGAAUAUAUAAAUAUAUAUGUGUGUGUGUGUGUGUGUAAUGUUCUAAUUAAUGAUCUUUAACUAUAUUAAAGCUGGAAAUAAGUUAAAAAAAUAAAAACACAAACUCUAAUGCAUUGUAUUUUAUCAAGUAAUGUGUUGAAAUAUAUGUGUUUUUGUCUUUUAACUUAUCAUUGACUUUAAUAUGGUUAAGGAUUCCUGAUUGAAAAUUAUAGUUCUUCUCUAGUGCGGGUGCUUUCAUUUUCUUUUCAUGCGGACACACUUUUAAGCCGUACAAUUUAAUAUAGUCAGUUGUUAAUGCUAUUAACUUGCACGACUUUAUAGCAUAUGAAAAAUUAACUCUAUUAAGUCGUAUAGCUUAACAAUAUUUACGCAUUUAAAAAAGAUAAGGGUAGCCGCACCUGAGAAUGUGUGUGUGUGUAUAUAUUACGUAAUAUGAUUUAAUAGUGUAAUGACUUAUAUUAUUAAAGCAUAUGUAUUAAUAGCUUUCCCAAACUUUGAUAAAGUUCAAGAUUAUAGAGAAAUGUUUCAGUUCGGAAUUUUAAAGUGCGGGAAAGUGCGGUAAAGUUUUAAAACCGCAUGGUUUUAAAGGCUUAAAACUAUAAGCCUUUAAAGUCGUGCGAUUUUAAAGCUUUCCUGGAUUUUCCUGCACUUUAAGAUCCCUCACCAGAAAACUACUAUAUAUAGUCAUUAUCUAAUAAGAGUUCUCUUAAGUUAUUAAAGUAAGGAAUAAACUAAAAGACACGCAAAACACACACUCCAGUACACUAUACGAGAAAAUACUAUUGAAGUGCAUGUUUUUGUUGUCUUUUAGUUUAUCUCUUAUUUUAAUAACUUAAGAAUCCCUUUAAUAACUUAAGAAAAAGACUAUAUAUAUAUAUAGUCUAUUUCUAGUGAGAAUAUCCUUACUUUGUGUAUACUAAAAUAUUAAGAAACACAUAUUUCAAUAUGUUAAAAAUUAAUUUCUUUUUAUUUAUUAGUAUAUUGAAAUUUUUGUUUUUCUUGUCUAUUAAACAGUUCAAUAUGUAUAUAUAUAUAUAUAUAUAAACAAGACCGUGAAAUAUUAUUAAUCUUUGUCUGGUUAGUGAAAACUAUCUUUUUGUUUUGACUUAUUGAACCCGAAUGAAGUAGCAUAGAGAUCCUCUAUUAAUCUAUCGCUAUCAUCGAAUUCAAUAAAAUUAAGGGAAAUUAUCACUGCACCACCUCUUUUUUGCCUUACGUUCAUCCAACCACUAAACAAUUCUAACAUGUUAUCUGCACCACCUUUUUUUUUUAAAUUUGUAUCAAUUAGCCACUU
This 1520-nucleotide long non-coding RNA is filed under the name Citrus x clementina. RNAcentral's name for it is "Citrus clementina (C. clementina) long non-coding RNA (CCLE_LNC003324)". Lineage: Eukaryota; Viridiplantae; Streptophyta; Magnoliopsida; Sapindales; Rutaceae. The record is from RNAcentral.